AGACCCGAAACCCGGUGAUCUAGCCAUGGGCAGGUUGAAGGUUGGGUAACACUAACUGGAGGACCGAACCGACUAAUGUUGAAAAAUUAGCGGAUGACCUGUGGCUGGGGGUGAAAGGCCAAUCAAACCGGGAGAUAGCUGGUUCUCCCCGAAAGCUAUUUAGGUAGCGCCUCGUGAAUUCAUCUCCGGGGGUAGAGCACUGUUUCGGCUAGGGGGCCAUCCCGGCUUACCAACCCGAUGCAAACUGCGAAUACCGGAGAAUGUUAUCACGGGAGACACACGGCGGGUGCUAACGUCCGUCGUGAAGAGGGAAACAACCCAGACCGCCAGCUAAGGUCCCAAAGUCAUGGUUAAGUGGGAAACGAUGUGGGAAGGCCCAGACAGCCAGGAUGUUGGCUUAGAAGCAGCCAUCAUUUAAAGAAAGCGUAAUAGCUCACUGGUCGAGUCGGCCUGCGCGGAAGAUGUAACGGGGCUA
Molecule: ribosomal RNA, 475 nt
Filed under: Salmonella enterica
Lineage: Bacteria; Pseudomonadati; Pseudomonadota; Gammaproteobacteria; Enterobacterales; Enterobacteriaceae
Also listed under: 3 other names
Description: partial 23S ribosomal RNA
Rfam family: Bacterial large subunit ribosomal RNA
Source: RNAcentral